This 496-nucleotide ribosomal RNA is filed under the name uncultured bacterium. RNAcentral describes it as "partial 16S ribosomal RNA". It matches the Rfam family "Bacterial small subunit ribosomal RNA", at positions 28 to 507 of the family's 1533-position model. The record is from RNAcentral.
GAUGAACGCUGGCGCGUGCCUAAUACAUGCCAGUCGAGCGAACAGAUGAGGAGCUUGCUCCUCUGACGUUAGCGGCGGCCGGGUGAGUAACACGUGGAUAACCUACCUAUAAGACUGGGAUAACUUCGGGAAACCGGAGCUAAUACCGGAUAAUAUAUUGAACCGCAUGGUUCAAUAGUGAAAGACGGUUUUGCUGUCACUUAUAGAUGGAUCCGCGCCGCAUUAGCUAGUUGGUAAGGUAACGGCUUACCAAGGCAACGAUGCGUAGCCGACCUGAGAGGGGGAUCGGCCACACUGGAACUGAGACACGGUCCAGACUCCUACGGGAGGCAGCAGUAGGGAAUCUUCCGCAAUGGGCGAAAGCCUGACGGAGCAACGCCGCGUGAGUGAUGAAGGUCUUCGGAUCGUAAAACUCUGUUAUGAGGGAAGAACAAAUGUGUAAGUAACUAUGCACGUCUUGACGGUACCUAAUCAGAAAGCCACGGCUAACUACGUG